This is an RNA transcript of Triticum dicoccoides, 2011 nucleotides long. RefSeq lists it as uncharacterized. Lineage: Eukaryota; Viridiplantae; Streptophyta; Magnoliopsida; Poales; Poaceae. The transcript is spliced from 3 exons. The record is from RefSeq and is a predicted model, not a curated record.
CCCCGGCACUCUCUCUCCCAUCCCUAAAAAAACUCUCUCACAAACUCACCUGCUCCUCUCCCCACGAUCUCCUCGCCGCCGCCACCACCCACCCACGAUCUCCCCCAAGCUCCCACCUUCCUCCGCUCUAAUCCCCCAUGGAAGCCACCGCCGCCGCCUCCCUCGCGCGGACCCUCGCCUCCUCGCUGCUCCCCCGCUGCUCCCGCCGUAGCCGCGUGCGCGUGGCCGUGGCGCCGGAGCGGCGGAGGAGGGGUAGGGCGGUGCUCUCCGCGGCGGCCUCGACGGGCAACUACAUGGUGCCACCUUCCUCCAAGACCAGCCGCCUCGUGCUGCGGCUGAUGGCAGUGGCGCAGCGAGUCUCCCACCUCACCACCACCGCUGCUUGCCGUCCGUCCCUCCUUCCGUCUAUGGCCACGGCGACCUCCGGCGUCAGCAGGCUCAGCGCAGCGGCGGGUAACAACGACGGCGACGUCGGCCUCCAAGACCCCAUCCCGGCCUCUGUUGGAAUAUGUAGGUACCCACUCCUUCCCCUUCCCCUUCACUUGCUGCCCGCUCUCUUCAAAUCUGUUUCUGCAUCCUCUGUUAGAACUUGUUUGCUCUCUGUUUUUUGGAGAUGUGCUAGUCUGUAUGAAUGUAUAAUUGGUACGUAGCUCAAAACGAAACUUGCAAAUGGUUCAAUACAUUUACAGGCAACACCGAGAUGGCAUGGUUGAACGCAAAAAGCAAAUGCCAUGACUGACGAAACUGAAAAAAUUGAACACUUCCUUCCUCGUCCUGGGUGAAAACCAUGUGACUGCACAACCGUGCUUUGCUAGUACAUGCAGGUUCAGUGAGUUUGGAACCGAUGGAGGACAACAGCAAAGUCUCUGAAUCCAAAGUUCAACCUCUUUGUCAAGCAGGUGUCCGCCAGCAUUGGGAUGGCAGAGCCACACAUUGAUUCUUUCAUUGCCUUUACCGUGUUUCUUAAAGCCUUUGGUGGUCUCCUUUUCAUCAUCAGCAGCUCGUUUGGAGCAUUCGUACUGGUGUGUACUCUUCUUCUGAAUGUACUGUAUCAAGAAUUAUUUCAUGUUAAGGGGGUAUCAAGAUGCAUACUAUUGUGGCUGCCAUUAAAUGUAGACUUGCAGCACCAUGUCUUCUCAAACUAAUAAAAAGGAAGUAUUGUUGCCAUGCCAUUUAGGUAGUUUUAACAAUUUUAGUGUGUCCAUUUUACUGGUUGUAAAAUGCCAAAUCUGGCAUUAUUGCUGCUUCGAUGUUUGAUCUUCAUACAUUUUGCUUCUGCAAUAUCCUGUUGUAGCAUCUGACAGUGGAAUGCUUCAACAACAACCUUCCUGAAAGAUUCCAAAUGUGGUGGCAGGUUAUUCUUAUUUUUUAACCACUUGAUAGGCUCAUGUCUGUUGAGUUUGUGCAACUGAUUUGCUACAGUCCAAAUUUACGUGUUUAUGCUUAUAUUUAUUGUUUGCAUUCUAUAUGUGACAAUGCAACAGUUCUUUGAGGCAUCAAUCCAUGAUAACUGGGCAUAUCGGUUUAUGCUUAGAUAUAAAGAAACCAAAUAUAUAUUCUGUCUUAUUAUACGGAACCAAUUGUAUUUAAUCCAUGUUAAAAUGAUUAUGCAUUUAUCAUGUUGGAACUUCUUUGUCAAGCAGGUCUCCGCCAACAUUGGGAAUUUGGGAUGGCAGUGCCACACAUUGAUGGCAAUGGAUAAAAUCUACUCUGGAUAGUUGACAGAGAGAGUACAUGCUAAGUUGACUUUUUUCCUGCGGAUUUGCUUAUCCUGAAGAUGCUUGCAAGGAUGCAGAGGGAGCGGAUCAUUUGGAGAGAUAGGAUGCCACUGUUUGGUGUUUUUAUGCAUUUUGGUGUGCUUGUAACUGUGUUUGCACUAGCUGGGAGUAAGUGACUUGGCAAGAAGUGUAGGUGUUUUAAUUGAAGGCAUGAAAAGCCAUGACAAUAUGUAUGCUCUUACAGGAUGUGCUCUAACGCCGCUGGUUUAUUAUAAAUCUUGGAUUAGUAAUGA